CAAUAGCGUAUAUUUAAGUUGUUGCAGUUAAGAAGCUCGUAGUUGGAUUUCGGGUGGGACGCAGCGGUCUCGCAUUGCGUUUGUACUGCUGCAGCCCUCCUUCUUGCCGGGGGCGGCCUCUCGGACUUCACUGUCUGGGGGUCAGAAUCGGCGAUGUUACUUUGAGUAAAUUAGAGUGUUCAAAGCAAGCUUACGCUCUGAAUAUAAUAGCAUGGGAUAACACGACAGGACUCUGGCCUAUCGUGUUGGUCUAUAGGACCAGAGUAAUGAUUAAGAGGGACAGUCGGGGGCAUUCGUAUUCCGUUGUCAGAGGUGAAAUUCUUGGAUUUACGGAAGACGAACAUCUGCGAAAGCAUUUGCCAAGGAUGUUUUCAUUG
This 377-nucleotide ribosomal RNA is filed under the name uncultured eukaryote. RNAcentral describes it as "partial 18S ribosomal RNA". It matches the Rfam family "Eukaryotic small subunit ribosomal RNA", at positions 592 to 975 of the family's 1831-position model. The record is from RNAcentral.